This 7811-nucleotide long non-coding RNA is filed under the name Chlamydomonas reinhardtii. RNAcentral's name for it is "long non-coding RNA (CREI_LNC001144)". The record is from RNAcentral. Lineage: Eukaryota; Viridiplantae; Chlorophyta; Chlorophyceae; Chlamydomonadales; Chlamydomonadaceae.
GUGGAGAUAGGGCAGCAGUCGUUCUGGCUGUCGAACAGCGCAGCCGAGCACACACCCUUGGGCAGGCCAGGGGGAGGAAUGCACAGCUCCUCAAGGGUGGUGCAGCCCUUGCCGUUCUUGUUCAUCGACAGGGUGAUGCAAAUCUCAGCACCGUCGCUGGCCAGGCCCAGGCCCAGCUGGGUCAGGACCAGGGUGGUCGAGCCAACGGGGCCAUCGGUGGGCUCGUGGAACGAGACACCGACCUUGGUGGGCACGCCGUUGAUGGUGGCCUUCACCACCUCGCCGAAGACGUCGCACGCCUCGUAGACGUUGAACUGUGUACAUCAAAAUGAGGAACAAACUCAGAGAACUUCUUGAAAAAAGAACUCACACUGUGGGUUGCUGGCUGCUGCGACUUUGAAACCGCGACCCGAUGCGCCGACAACCCACCUCGAUCUUCUUGAGGUCUGCCUUGGAGCAGCAGUAAUCGGUGCAGCCAGCCGGCACCUUGGCGCUCAGCUUGAAGCAGUACUGGUUGUUGCCCUUGGCAACGACAACAUCACCCAGCUUGUAGGCCGAGGGAGACUUCUUGCACUGGCAGUAAGGGAACGAGGUGUACAAGCCCGACUGAGCACCCUGGGCGGCCCUGCAGAUUCAGAACGAAGGGCACACGCGGCACGGAGUUACUGCCAGCGGAGCAAGCGGAGUCUCGGCGACGGGAUAGCCUGCUUGCAACUUGCUGUCAAAUCCGGUGGUGGCGCUACGAUCACUGUUACGCUAUGCUGAAAUCAUGAAAAUAGCCCGAGCAUGCUGUAAGAGCGCCGGUUGCAAGAAGGCCGACCGCAUUCAAGCUGCGCAGCGGACCCACACGACCACUAUUUACGCCGUGAGCGUAAAUGAUUAUCUUUGACUAGAGUCAGCGAUGCUCGUCUAUUCUACAACUCAGGAGCUUCCCGAAGCGACAAAUCUGUGAAACGCGCGGUCUUGCUACUCACGCAAUUGCGGCCGCGAAAAGAACGGAGACUAGAAUGCUGCACCUCAUUGUCACAGAGGUGGUUCAGCUAUAAAGAAAUUGUGAGGCACGCGGGCUUAUCAUGGGGGGCCCGGCUGGUCGAACGAGUCGUACGCCCGCCAUUAACCGCGGGCGCGUUAGUUUGGCGUGCGAUGCAAUCAUUCAUGCAACCGCGCCACUUCGACAGUGCCGGAAACAACUUUUAUUUUUGUGGGUAUGCAUCCGGCUAUUCGGUAGGACAGCAGCUGCGUUACGCUCAAACUCGGGCAAACAAUUGGGCUAGCGGCGUGAGCUUGCACCUCACAACUAUCAUCACACAAGUUAUUUAGAUACUGGCCUACCUUGGGCCAUCUCCAAAACUGCCUGUCCAGCCCGGGAGCGGCGGAGCUGUUUCGCCCGCGGUUUGGAGUGGCUUUACUCGUGCCGACGCAAGUCCUUGAUUUUUGCAUUAUAAAAAAAUUAUAGAGUACAGCUAUAGCAACCAACUUGGCAAUGGAGCUGCUGGCAUGGUCCAAACGCGGGAAGCUGGCGCCUUCUAGGCUCUUUGGAGCCCUGUCGGCUUCACAAGUGGCUGAUGCUCAAGUUGUGCAUCGCUUUGGCCGGACAAAUGUCUCCUAGUAACCCGGUUCACAAGCGAAGCGUGAAACGAAAGCAAAGGAUGCUGCGCGCCGGAAGCGAAACGUUCGAUGCACCUAAUUGGGCGCCAAGCGCGGAACCUUGCAGUCUCAGAUGCGUGUGUGCAUGGAAGGAGAAGGCUGGCGGAGGCGAGAGGAGCGGGGGCAGGGAUUGGCUUUCGUGGGGGGGGCGGGGCAAGUGGCGCGGGCGGGGCUGGGGGGGCGAAGAACGGUGAAGACCGGUGCGAUGGCACAGGGUAAGGGGCAGGUUGGCGUAGUCCCGAGUCCCGAGAAACAACUUACGCCCAACCCAGGCGCCAAUGAAACAGGUGAAGAGCUUGAGGACCCCCCUCCCGCUGUCCGGGCCUUACACACAAGCAGGCCAAGUGCGGGGGGAGCCGUAGCGCACACCAUAUACCGUACUGUCACUGUGCUCGAUUUCGUCGCUAGUGACGCCCCUGCUGGCUAGGGUAGCAAGGGUAAUGGGGGUGAACGAGCCGGUUGCUUAGGCUGUGCCAGCUUUCCCCGGGUUUCAUUGGGGUCACACACUUCACUGAUGCACAACUUUCAGAGCCAGGGGGCUGCAUCCUCCGGCAAGCAGACGCCAGGAGGGUGUCCCUGGCCGCAUGCGCUGGGUCCUGGAGUCUACGGUACGCGUUGCCGCACGCGUCGGUUGGCCAUCCAUUCCCCAUCCUUAGACACAAUGACUGUGUCAUGUGUGCACGUUGCGCUUUAGGCUCGGCCAGCGGCACCCUGGGUUGGGUGUGUGAUGGGUUGGGUCUCGGUUUGAGAGGUGUGACCCUUGCAGAAAGCAGGACUCUCCACACUCCCCUCCCGUGCUGUGCAUGUAUGUUCCUGCAUGCACGUGUGUGUAUGAAGUGAAUGGCUCAGCCAACGGCUGUGUGUGCAUGUGGCCCGCGUAAAAUGCAAUUUACCAGUGAUGGGCACUUCUAUCAGGGAGGGGUAGGAAACAAAGUGCCAGACCCCAUGCCCCGAAAUCCCCCGGGACCCCCCUUGAGGGGACGACCGACCCCCCGACGGACAAAACCUUGUUGUUCAGCGGUUAAAACCCCUCCAUUUAAUACCAAAGUAGUGUCAAUCGACUCCUCUUGACGAGCACUAUCACUCCGUGCCAUCAGCGGUCCUGUUCUGAGACUUCGGUCACGGGCGGGAUCCUAUCCAUGGAAAUCCCCUCGACCCAGACCACCCCGCGCUCAACUCUUUGCCGCGUGACGAAUGGACAAUGUGCAUCGGCAGCCUUGUUAGACGUGAACUCAUGCGCAUCAGCGCUUCAGAGCCCAGCUGUGUCAGUGCGCAUAUGUUGAAUGUGGAGACAUGUCCCGACAUGUCCACGUCCGGACGCGCAACUUAGCCCUCCCACGCUUUGUUUGUGCUUAUUACGUCAUAACGUACACAUAUGAGCCUCGCACUGCUGCGUUUGGCCCCUAGUUCUGCUUGUGGGGCGCUUCCCGAAAUCCGCCAGGAUGGGCUCCCGAAACCCGACGGACCCCCAGGGACGAGGACCGACCCCCAACUUUGGCGGCCCAGAACUUCCUCACCAGACCCCCCUUUAAAAAACUAAAAGUACGUGCAUAAUGCUCUCCUGAAGCUCUCUAAUAUUGAGCAUGGGGUAAGAACCUGAGCUUUCUAACCCCCCCCUGCCAUGGCGGCCACAAUGCCAAGAUGCUACCUGGCGGCGCCACGCACAGCAGAGCCCUGUGCUCCGCAAGGAUGCACACGUGCACACACGCACACACAUGUGCGAACACACGUGCACCUGCCCUCCAUGCCACUCGCCCCGCCCCUUCCCCCUUCCCUCACCUCAGUUAUGGCUGACUGGAUGCGGUUGAUCUCAAACAGCCGGCUGCGCCCCUCCUGGGAGCCGCCGCCGCCGCCGCCAGACAGGAGGUCUGGAGUGCGUGUGAGGAAGGGGAGGGGGGGGAUGUGCCCGAGCCCGAGGUCUCAAGCGUCAAGGAAUUGUUUCCAAACCAGGGGGAGGAAGCGGUAGGGGGGCGCGAAGUGUGAUGUUUGUCGGGGUAAGGUGUGAGGCAUUGGGCAUGGAGCGUAAGGCGGGCAUCAAGGCGGGUAGGGUGUCGGCCUGUGCGCUGUCACCCAAGCCACGGGCGCACCGUUAGCACGCACGCACGCGCACACGCUCACACUACGCACCUGCGGCCGCCUCCUGCCCCUUGCUGGUGGCGCCGCUCCCGCCGCCGCCCCCACCUGCACCCCCAGCAGCCGCCCCGCCCGGCACCGGAGCGCUCACCACCACCUGCGCCUCCGCCGCACCCUCCACCGCUGACUCUGCUCCUGCUCCCCCUCCUGCUGCGGAUGCUUCCGCUGGUAGCUGCACCACUGGCGUGUGCCGUGGAUGCGGUGGGUGCGGCGCCGCCAAGCCAGUCACCGCCGCCACCACCGGCGCCAGCGCCGCCGCCACGGCAGCCGCCGGCUCCCCUCCCGAAAUCCGCCAGACACCCCCUUAAAAAGUUAAAAGUACGUGCAUAAUGCUCUCCUAAAGCUCUGUAAUUUUGAGCAUGGGGUAAGAAACUGAGCUUUCUACCCCCCCCCUGCUUCUAUCAACCGGUUGUGCUUUCGGGGUUACAUGGAAGAGAUUAGGCUGGUGGGGCACAGUGGUGCACGGUGACAGAGACAGCCUUUCUUCCCUGUCUGGGUCAGGGGACAGGUUGUGCCGCCCUCGAGUCCGAAUCAAAUCGUUCUUUGCAGCAUCCCUCUUCAGGAUGCUGAGUGGAGUUGGUGUCGGUAGUAAAGGCCAAGCCCAACGCCCAUUGCGGCAGGGCCCAGGUGUGGGCGGAACGCCCGCCAAGAUGAGACACGAUGAGAGGCACGGCCGAUCGCGCCGAGUUAAGCCAUCACCACGCCCAGUGUUCCGGCCGGUUGUAACAGAUCAACUGUUACGAUCCCUGUUCGAGACAGGGCUGGGCCCUAACUUAUGCCUCUUACGAGUCUUCUAGUGAAUACGCGGUCACCCAAGUCUCAUCCGUUGGACAUCUCCAACCCCUUGCCAGGCUCUACAGUGAGUUAUGUCCGGGGUGGGCUAGGUACUGCUACCCCAGGGGAGAGCCUUCCCUGGCAGAGCCCAGGCCCUGCCGUAUUCCUUACCGGGUCGCACACCCACCGAAGUACCGAACCACGCGUCACGGUCUGGGAAUCAGCUGCACCCUACGGGACUUCACCAACCUGCCUUAACACUGUCCCAUACCACGCGUUACGUUUCUCCACGAUCCGCGGAACGGCGGAAACACGUAUUGACAUGUGUACACCCGCAAGGAGACCGCGGGUGGGUGAGAAUACUGCGCCUGCGCCUGAGAGCCCCGGGGCAAGCUGUCUCAUCCCCGAACGUAGAACUCAUAGAGUGCAGUCUGUGCAAAAGGGAAAGCGAGAUGCAAAGGACGAAGCAGGAGUCGUGUGACGCGUUAGCGUGGAUAAACGCCUGGCGGAUGAGAUCGGACAUGGCAACUUGGAAAUGGGCAGGUUGGUGUUAGUCCUGUGGACCUGAUAUACCCGAGCCGGUUGAGGGCCUCAUGUGCAAAACCGCCAGCGCCGGUCUGCUGGCCUUAUCUGGGUACACGCAGUACCGGUGCGGUAGCUGACGAUGCCAGCGUUAUUGACGAGUGUUGCGGAACUAAUGCGUACGUAGACCAGAGCGGAAGGCGGAGUGGGCUUGCAGGCGGCACGAGAGUAGGCAGUCAGUAGCGCAAGUUGCGAAUUCACAUGUUACCUCGUAACCGACGGUAAACGCUGCGGACGGUCGCGCCCAUGGCUGGCUGACGGAAGGUGGCUGCUGUAUUGGGAUGGCUGGGCUGGACGACGCCGGCCGGGCUGGCGUGCACGAUGUGCACAAACCGUUCCGCCUGCAGAUUGCAGAAAGCCCUGACGCCAGCUGCGCAUCCUGACGGAUGACACGUUGGGGGCUGUCACUCAGCUGCUGACUCGGGACCACCGUGCUGUCCCCUGCCGCAGUUACCGCCGCAGCCUGGCUGGCAUUCAACUUAUGUUGAAAAUUAUAUCAAUAUGACGCGUUCGUACUGUGCCCCCAAACCGGUUUACAGGGGCAACAGGCAAUAGCCCUGCGCACAAACUCCUGCUUCUCACCAGAGCUUUCGCCGUUAUGCACGGCCACGGGAACAAUGGUCCCGGCCAACCACAUCUAUGAACCGUGUCCGUUAGCCUCUCCUGAGGCUUGUAACCGGAACGCGGCUCCGCUGAUUGCAGUCCCAGGAUGACGCUAACCUAAGCAAACAGUCAAUGCGCAUGAUCAUUUACACACACGAGUGCUCUUAUGUACUGCCCAUAUUAAACACAGUCGAGUUGUGGAUCAGUUGCACGAUUCACCGCGCCAGCCCUCGCGGCGGUGCUUCACGCAAUCCGCAUUCAGCUGGUGGCGAGUCGCCAAGCCGCCCCCAACAAAACCCGCACCGCACCAAGUGCCAUGCCGUUUAGACACACGCGCACAACACUAAUCCUGCGAGGCAGUGAUCUCAUCUGUCACUUUGUCAACUACCCAAUCAAGCCAUUUUUCCGAACCCAAUUCAAAACACGCGCCCACGGGCGAAGCUGUGCGCCGUGGCUGUAGCGGCUGCUGCCUCUGCUGCCAACGCCUCACAAAAUCCACCCGUGGCCGUCUGCCACAUAAGCUCCAGCGGUCACCAGCUAUGCUCCGUGCCAGCUCGCGAUAUUGCCAGGCCGUGUGGCCGCAGCAGCUGUUUGCACAGCUGCCGCGAAGCAAGUCCGCUGCCACAAGAACUCAAACAGGGUGGGUCAGCCGCGCGGCUUCCAAGCGGCUUCCACCUUGUGUGUAUGGACACGCGACGCCUCGGCUGCUGCGGGCUGUGCCAUUUACGGCAGGCUCGCCUGGUACAGCGGGCAGCUGCGGGCAAGACACGGGAGGGGUGAGGAAUGGCGGUCAGAUACGUGACAACGUCGAGGCAGAUGUCCGCGGGGAAGUCCGUGGGCGAAGCCUAUUGAUUUAGAUCCCGCAAGACAACCCACAUUGGCAAGUACGUUGUUGCGAGCGUGUCAAUGCAAACCCAACUCACCAGUUCUUGCUGUCGUCGAACAAGUUGCCGUAGCACGAGCCGCCGGGCGCGGGCAGGCAGAAGUCCGACAGGGGGGUGUCGUUCUUCAGCUCCAGGCAGAUAGUACCGCCAUUCGCCUGGUCCUUGCUCCAGUUCAGGGGGGUAGCCUUGACGGUCUGCUCGUCCACAGCGCCCCAGGUGGCGGACAGCCACUUGCCGGUGCCGGUCUUGGGCUGCACGUACACGCCGGUGAUGGCGCGGCGCUUCUUGUCGUCGGCGUAGAACUCGGCCUUGAGCAGGCUGGUGCUCCGGCCGCAGGGGCUGGUGGCGCUGUUGGGGGUCACAAGGGUGAUGCUGAAGCAGUAAGAGGUGGUGUCCUUGGUGCGGCCGGCCAUAGUGGAAAUGACGGGCGUGAAGGCGAAGGGGGUGGCGCCGGGCGUGGUGACGCAAGCGCACUUGGGGAAGUCCACAGGCUCGGGGGCGCAGGCCUGGGACUGGAAGCCGCUCAGGCAAGACGCAUCCGGGGCCUGUGCGGAGCCGCCGAUGCCGCCGACGGCGGCGUAAGCGCUGUAGCCAGUCAGGAAGGCGGGGCAGCCCUGGACGCCGGUGAUCAGCUGCAGCCAGAAGGGCAGGCGCUCAUCGAUGAAGGGCUGCAGCUCGGCGCCCUGCUCCGAUGAGAAGAAGGUGGCGCACAGCUUGAUCACGUCGCCAGAGCAAACAGCCGGGGCGAAGUUGAUCGCGACGCCCAGGUUCUCGGCCUCGGUCUGGAGCUCGUCGCCGAUCAUAGCAGCGUAGUCGUCGCAGUCCUGCUGGGAGAACUCGUAAGGGAAGACAACGUUGCCGGUCUCAAGGAUGGAGAGGUACACGCAAGCCGUGCAGGGAGGAGGAGGAGACGGAGGAGGCGGGCUGGGGGGAGGAGGGCUCGGGAUGCCGGGCGUGGAGAUAGGGCAGCAGUCGUUCUGGCUGUCGAACAGCGCAGCCGAGCACACACCCUUGGGCAGGCCAGGGGGAGGAAUGCACAGCUCCUCAAGGGAGGUGCAGCCCUUGCCGUUCUUGUUCAGCGACAGGGUGAUGCAAAUCUCAGCACCGUCGCUGGCCAGGCCCAGGCCCAGCUGGGUCAGCACCAGAGUGGUGGAGCCGACGGGGCCAUCGAUGGGCUCGUGGAACGAG